Molecule: ribosomal RNA, 555 nt
Filed under: uncultured bacterium
Lineage: Bacteria
Description: partial 16S ribosomal RNA
Rfam family: Bacterial small subunit ribosomal RNA
Source: RNAcentral
UAGGGAAUCUUCGGCAAUGGACGAAAGUCUGACCGAGCAACGCCGCGUGAGUGAAGAAGGUUUUCGGAUCGUAAAACUCUGUUGGUAGAGAAGAACGUUGGUGAGAGUGGAAAGCUCAUCAAGUGACGGUAACUACCCAGAAAGGGACGGCUAACUACGUGCCAGCAGCCGCGGUAAUACGUAGGUCCCGAGCGUUGUCCGGAUUUAUUGGGCGUAAAGCGAGCGCAGGUGGUUUAUUAAGUCUGGUGUAAAAGGCAGUGGCUCAACCAUUGUAUGCAUUGGAAACUGGUAGACUUGAGUGCAGGAGAGGAGAGUGGAAUUCCAUGUGUAGCGGUGAAAUGCGUAGAUAUAUGGAGGAACACCGGUGGCGAAAGCGGCUCUCUGGCCUGUAACUGACACUGAGGCUCGAAAGCGUGGGGAGCAAACAGGAUUAGAUAGCCCUGGUAGUCCACGCCGUAAACGAUGAGUGCUAGAUGUAGGGAGCUAUAAGUUCUCUGUAUCGCAGCUAACGCAAUAAGCACUCCGCCUGGGGGAGUACGACCGCAAGGUUGAAAC